AAGACUAUAGACCUGCGGAGUACCUGCGGAGGGAUCAUUACUGAGUGAGGGCCCUCUGGGUCCAACCUCCCACCCGUGUUUAUUGUACCUUGUUGCUUCGGCGAGCCCGCCUCACGGCCGCCGGGGGGCAUUUGCCCCCGGGCCCGCGCCCGCCGAAGACAUCAUUGAACUCUGUCUGAAGAUUGCAGUCUGAGUAGAUUAGCUAAAUCAGUUAAAACUUUCAACAAUGGAUCUCUAGAU
This 240-nucleotide unclassified non-coding RNA is filed under the name soil metagenome. RNAcentral describes it as "partial contains 5.8S ribosomal RNA, internal transcribed spacer 2, and large subunit ribosomal RNA". The record is from RNAcentral.